AGAUGUGAGGACGAUCUGGCUGUGACAUCUGUCACCGCAUUGAUUACCAGGGUUGAUUUGGCUGAUCUGGCUGGCUAGGCUGGUGUCCCCUUCCAUCCUCACUGCUCCAUGCACAUCCCUCCCAAAGCUGCAUUCUCAGUCGAAGAGGAAUACCAUCCCCGAUAAAGGAGGACCAGUCUUCGGUCAAGGGUAUAUGAGUAGCUGCACUCCCCUCCUAGAACCUCCAAGCCUUCAAAUAAUUGGUGAUUCUUAAGAUACAUGGAGCUAACUAGGGGUUAGAAUGAUUUCCCAAACUUCUGCUAGAAGGCGACUAUAGUGCCAAACCAUACUGUCAACUUUU
Nomascus leucogenys (northern white-cheeked gibbon) is the source of this 340-nucleotide unclassified non-coding RNA. Its record names the gene 7SK. It matches the Rfam family "7SK RNA". Rfam says of the family: 7SK was discovered as an abundant small nuclear RNA in the mid-70s but a possible function has only recently been suggested. Two independent studies have found that 7SK RNA binds the CDK9/cyclin T complex (known as elongation factor P-TEFb). P-TEFb activates transcription by phosphorylating the C-terminal domain of RNA polymerase II. The record is from Ensembl. NCBI's taxonomy places the organism in Eukaryota, Metazoa, Chordata, Mammalia, Primates, Hylobatidae.